This 29-nucleotide non-coding RNA is filed under the name Rattus norvegicus (Norway rat). Lineage: Eukaryota; Metazoa; Chordata; Mammalia; Rodentia; Muridae. The record is from RNAcentral.
UAAAAAGGCAGUGAAGUGACCUGGGGAAC